RNAcentral lists this non-coding RNA (20 nucleotides) under Arabidopsis thaliana (thale cress). The record is from RNAcentral. Lineage: Eukaryota; Viridiplantae; Streptophyta; Magnoliopsida; Brassicales; Brassicaceae.
UCGCUGCCGUGAUCGUGGUC